CUUCAGAUUAUUGAAAUUUCCGCAAACAUGAAAAAAAUACGAAUUGAAUGAUCAAAUGCUUCAUGGCUCUUUCUUCUCUCUCUUUGUGAGUUAGAAGCAUUUCUGAAAUUGAUAAUCAGAAAAGGAAAAUAGAUUAAUCAAAAUGCCAAAAUUCUCUUGCGAUUUUCGAUGCCUUCUUAUUCCUGCCGCAUUAGCAUUCAUCUAUAUCCAGAUGCGGCUUUUCGCUACACAGUCAGAGUAUGCGGAUCGCCUCGCUGCCGCCGUUGAAUCGGAGAACCAUUGUACAAGUCAACUGCGAUUGCUAAUUGAUCAAAUAAGCAUGCAACAGGGCAGAAUUGUGGCUCUAGAAGAAGAAAAGAAGCGUCAAGGUGAAGAAUGUAGACAAUUGAAGGCUGUUAUUGAAGAUCUUGAAAGAAAAGGCCUCCAAAGAGUGGUAGACAAGGUACCGGUGGCAGCAGUUGUGAUUAUGGCAUGUAAUCGUGCUGAUUAUUUAGAAAGGACUAUUAAGUCUGUGUUGAAGUACCAAAGUUCUAUUGCUUCAAAAUAUCCACUUUUUGUAUCCCAGGAUGGAUCUAACCCAGAUGUUAGAAGCAAGGCUAUGAGUUAUGAUCAAGUAAUUUACAUGCAGCACUUGAAUUCUGAACUGGUGCACACAGAAAGGCCUGGAGAGUUGAUUGCAUACUACAAGAUUGCCAGGCAUUACAAAUGGGCAUUGGAUCAAUUGUUCUACAAGCAUAACUUCAAUCGAGUGAUCAUACUUGAAGAUGAUAUGGAGAUUGCCCCUGAUUUUUUUGAUUACUUUGAGGCUGCAGCAGCUCUUCUUGACAAAGACAAGUCCAUUAUGGCUGUUUCCUCAUGGAAUGACAAUGGGCAAAAGCAAUUUGUGUAUGAUCCUUAUACACUUUAUCGGUCAGAUUUCUUUCCUGGAUUGGGAUGGAUGCUUACUAAAUCAACAUGGGAUGAACUAUCCCCUAAAUGGCCAAAAGCUUACUGGGAUGACUGGUUGAGGUUGGAAGAGAAUCGCAAAGGUCGACAAUUUGUUCGUCCAGAAGUGUGCAGGACAUACAACUUCGGUGAGCAUGGUUCUAGUUUGGGGCAAUUUUUCAAACAAUAUCUAGAGAAUAUCAAGUUGAAUGAUGCCCAGGUUGACUGGAAAACAAUGAAUUUGAGCUACCUGAUGGAGUACAACUAUCCAAAAUACUUUGCCAACAUUUUGAGAAACGCUAAAGCUGUCCACGGAAAUGAUGCUGUUCUUAAAGCGUAUAAUACAGAAGGUGAUGUUCAUAUUCAGUACAAAGACCAAUCCGACUUUGAACGCAUUGCACGCCAGUUUGGUAUUUUUGAAGAAUGGAAGGACGGAGUACCAAGGACAGCAUACAAGGGAAUAGUUGUUUUCCGAUAUCAAACGCAAAGACGCAUUUUCCUAGUUGGUCCUGAUUCUUUGAGGCAGCUUGGGGUUGACGAUGCUUGAUGCUAAAUGGAGGUACAAAUGUUUUCACUGCGUUGCGUUCUUUUGUUAAGAAUCAUCUGUGUCUGUCUCUCUUUUCUAAUUGGCAUUGGCACCAAAUGAUGAUGUAAUCCUUUUAUCAAUGCGUGUUAUGCUACGCCCAAAGGAGUGCGAAGGACUGAAAUGGAAAGAAAUAACCACAGGAGGAUGAAACAAUGAAAAAAUUGAACUGUGGGUUAUUUGAUAUUGUUAUGAAUGUGUAGUUUGCGAUAUUAUUUCAUGAAACAAUUUGGUACAAAUACAUACAAUAAGUUUCUAACAUAUCAGAAACACCAUAUUUUGCUUUUUACUCAUUUUCAGA
Manihot esculenta (cassava) is the source of this 1808-nucleotide RNA transcript. It is a transcript of the gene named alpha-1,3-mannosyl-glycoprotein 2-beta-N-acetylglucosaminyltransferase, with no coding region annotated. Lineage: Eukaryota; Viridiplantae; Streptophyta; Magnoliopsida; Malpighiales; Euphorbiaceae. The transcript is spliced from 20 exons. The record is from RefSeq and is a predicted model, not a curated record.